UGGAGGAUCUGAGCCCGGAAGAGAGGGACCAAGGUGUAGAAACCAAGAAAAACAGCAUCACAGAGGAGAGCAGAGCCAAGAGCUGGAGAGAAAUGGCACCUGACAGUAUCUGUUGCUGUUUCUUGAUUUUCCUCUUCUUAUAUGGAAACAGGGAAGAUGCUCAGAGCAAGGAAAAAAUAAUAAAUCUUUCCAGACAGAAGGAGGAAAUGAAGAAAGGAAGCAAGGAAGAAAAAAAAGAAGGAAACUACUUGAAUACGGGGACUGGCUAAUCCAUCUUUUAAGUUUAAUUUUUAUUAUUAGAUAAUUAUAAGUUGCAAACAUUGUACUGAGUGGUCCUGUGUGCCCAUCACCCAGCUUCCCCUAUGAUGACAUCUUCCAUAACUAUAGGCCAGUCCUUUUUUAUUAUAUAUUCUAGUGGCCCACAGUAACUGUUCAAUAAAGUUCAU
Molecule: long non-coding RNA, 446 nt
Organism: Lemur catta (Ring-tailed lemur)
Lineage: Eukaryota; Metazoa; Chordata; Mammalia; Primates; Lemuridae
Exons: 3
Source: RefSeq, a predicted model, not a curated record